RNAcentral lists this ribosomal RNA (460 nucleotides) under uncultured bacterium. RNAcentral's name for it is "partial 16S ribosomal RNA". It matches the Rfam family "Bacterial small subunit ribosomal RNA", at positions 338 to 795 of the family's 1533-position model. The record is from RNAcentral.
CCUACGGGAGGCAGCAGUGAGGAAUAUUGGUCAAUGGGCGCGAGCCUGAACCAGCCAAGUAGCGUGAAGGAUGACUGCCCUACGGGUUGUAAACUUCUUUUAUAAAGGAAUAAAGUGAGGCACGCGUGCCUUUUUGUAUGUACUUUAUGAAUAAGGAUCGGCUAACUCCGUGCCAGCAGCCGCGGUAAUACGGAGGAUCCGAGCGUUAUCCGGAUUUAUUGGGUUUAAAGGGAGCGUAGAUGGGUUGUUAAGUCAGUUGUGAAAGUUUGCGGCUCAACCGUAAAAUUGCAAUUGAUACUGGCAGCCUUGAGUACAGGUGAGGUAGGCGGAAUGCGUGGUGUAGCGGUGAAAUGCUUAGAUAUCACGAAGAACUCCGAUUGCGAAGGCAGCUUACUAAACUGCCACUGACGCUGAUGCACGAAAGCGUGGGUAUCAAACAGGAUUAGAUACCCUAGUAGUC